GACGAACGCUGGCGGCGUGCUUAACACAUGCAAGUCGAACGGUGAAGCGCCUUCCUUUUUGGUGGGUGUGGAUGAGUGGCGAACGGGUGAGUAACACGUGGGUAACCUGCCCCCUUCUUCUGGAUAACCGCAUGAAAGUGUGGCUAAUACGGGAUAUUCUGGGUCUGUCGCAUGAUGGGUCUGGGAAAGAUAUUGUUUCGGUGGGGGAUGGGCUCGCGGCCUAUCAGCUUGUUGGUGGGGUGAUGGCCUACCAAGGCGGUGACGGGUAGCCGGCCUGAGAGGGUGGACGGUCACACUGGGACUGAGACACGGCCCAGACUCCUACGGGAGGCAGCAGUGGGGAAUAUUGCACAAUGGGCGCAAGCCUGAUGCAGCGACGCCGCGUGAGGGAUGGAGGCCUUCGGGUUGCGAACCUCUUUCGCCAGUGAAGCAGGCCUGCCUCGUUUGUGGGUGGGUUGACGGUAGCUGGAGAAGAAGCGCCGGCUAACUACGUG
RNAcentral lists this ribosomal RNA (494 nucleotides) under uncultured bacterium. RNAcentral describes it as "partial 16S ribosomal RNA". It matches the Rfam family "Bacterial small subunit ribosomal RNA", at positions 28 to 507 of the family's 1533-position model. The record is from RNAcentral.